UAAGCUAUUUUUUGUGAUUGUAUUCAGCUCAAGCUGUAGUAAAUGCUCUUUUCAGCAUAAAAAGUAACGAUUAUUUCUCUGUCUAAAUUUAUUCGUAAAAUAUGCAUCACCUACCAUUAAAUUUCUUUGAUUUUUGCUACUGUGUUCAUCCACAAGCUACAAAAUGAAUCAUCUGAGCUGUCAAAAGAUAUUUUCGAAAAGAAAAUAAUGGGCCCGGAAAAAGCUAUAUUGUAGAAGAUGCAAUGGGUUGGUGUUUAUCCCGGUCUUAAGAAAGAAAGAUUCCAGAUUUGCUGCUGUUCUCUAGACAUUUCUCCUCAACUAUUUAAUUGUUGGAAUUGGAAUAGAACGAGAAAUCCGUGGAUGCUGAACCAACCAUGGCCAAAAAGGCAGUGAAAAUGUACUUGUGAACACCAAAAGAAAAUCGAACGGGAAGUUACCCAAACCCAAGAAAAGAAUAAAAACACAGAAAAAUGAGAAAAACGGAAUUUUUAAUCCUUCUAUUUUGAAACAUCAACAAAAUUUGUGUAUAAUUUACGUAGCUCAGCCUCUUGGCAAGGCUCUAAUUUGAUAACUAUCAUGCUGGGUUUCGCGCAUUUGAUUGUUUCGGGUAGCGAAAAGCUUUUCUCCAUAACAGCCGGCGGGGGUGGAA
This is a long non-coding RNA of Uranotaenia lowii, 649 nucleotides long. RefSeq lists it as uncharacterized. The transcript has 3 exons. The record is from RefSeq and is a predicted model, not a curated record. NCBI's taxonomy places the organism in Eukaryota, Metazoa, Arthropoda, Insecta, Diptera, Culicidae.